RNAcentral lists this transfer RNA (72 nucleotides) under Schizostauron trachyderma. RNAcentral's name for it is "tRNA-Val". It matches the Rfam family "tRNA". From Rfam's summary of the family: Transfer RNA (tRNA) molecules are approximately 80 nucleotides in length. Lineage: Eukaryota; Bacillariophyta; Bacillariophyceae; Naviculales; Stauroneidaceae. The record is from RNAcentral.
AAACAAUUAACUCAAUGGUAGAGUGUUUCGCUUACAACGAAGAGGUUAGCGGUUCAAAUCCGUUAUUGUUUA